AUUGAACGCUGGCGGCAGGCCUAACACAUGCAAGUCGAGCGGAUGAAGGGAGCUUGCUCCUGGAUUCAGCGGCGGACGGGUGAGUAAUGCCUAGGAAUCUGCCUGGUAGUGGGGGAUAACGUCCGGAAACGGGCGCUAAUACUGCAUACGUCCUGAGGGAGAAAGUGGGGGAUCUUCGGACCUCACGCUAUCAGAUGAGCCUAGGUCGGGUUAGCUAGUUGGUGGGGUAAAGGCCUACCAAGGCGACGAUCCGUAACUGGUCUGAGAGGAUGAUCAGUCACACUGGAACUGAGACACGGUCCAGACUCCUACGGGAGGCAGCAGUGGGGAAUAUUGGACAAAGGGCGAAAGCCUGAUCCAGCCAUGCCGCGUGUGUGAAGAAGGUCUUCGGAUUGUAAAGCACUUUAAGUUGGGAGGAAGGGCAGUAAGUUAAUACCUUGCUGUUUUGACGUUACCAACAGAAUAAGCACCGGCUAACUUCGUG
This 484-nucleotide ribosomal RNA is filed under the name uncultured bacterium. RNAcentral describes it as "partial 16S ribosomal RNA". It matches the Rfam family "Bacterial small subunit ribosomal RNA", at positions 30 to 507 of the family's 1533-position model. The record is from RNAcentral.